UUCAAAUGGAGAAAAGGAGACACGGGGUGUUUUCUGGAGAAUGGGGUUCAUUGUUUGGCAAUGAGAGUGACAUGAAGUUGUCGGGGUUCAAAUGCGGUGAUCAGGGAUCAUACGCGCGAAAGAAAUAUAUUUGUUUUGGGGUUCAAGAAAGGCAAAAAAAAAUAAUCAAAGAAGUUUUGGGGUUCAAGAAAAGCAAAAAAAAAAAAAUAAUAAUAAUAAUUCCCAGCGGAGCGCAAAUUGUUCGUCUGUUCUUGGUAUUCAACCACUC
Molecule: long non-coding RNA, 268 nt
Filed under: Lathyrus oleraceus (garden pea)
Lineage: Eukaryota; Viridiplantae; Streptophyta; Magnoliopsida; Fabales; Fabaceae
Description: Pisum sativum (pea) long non-coding RNA (PSAT_LNC026014)
Source: RNAcentral